RNAcentral lists this ribosomal RNA (497 nucleotides) under uncultured bacterium. Its description in RNAcentral is "partial 16S ribosomal RNA". It matches the Rfam family "Bacterial small subunit ribosomal RNA", at positions 28 to 507 of the family's 1533-position model. The record is from RNAcentral.
GACGAACGCUGGCGGCGUGCCUAAUACAUGCAAGUAGAACGCUGAAGAGAGGAGGUUGCUCUUCUUGGAUGAGUUGCGAACGGGUGAGUAACGCGUAGGUAACCUGCUUUGUAGCGGGGGAUAACUACUGGAAACGAUAGCUAAUACUGCAUAACAAUGGAUGACACAUGUCAUUUAUUUGAAAGGGGCAAUUGCUCCACUACAAGAUGGACCUGCGUUGUAUUAGCUAGUUGGUGGGGUAAUGGCUCAACUAGGCGACGAUACAUAGCCGGCCUGAGAGGGUGGUCGGCCGCACUGAGAGUGAGACACAGCCCAGACUGCCACGGGAGGGAGCAGUAGGGAAUCUUCGGCGAUGGGGGCAAGCCUGACCGAUCAAGGCCGCGUGAGUGAAGAAGGGUUGCGGAUCGGUAGUCUCUGUUGUAAGUCAGGAAAGGGGGUGAGAGUGGAAUGUUCACGCUUUGACGGUAGCUGACCAGAAAGGGACGGCUAACUACGUG